This 433-nucleotide ribosomal RNA is filed under the name uncultured Rozellomycota. Its description in RNAcentral is "bacterial SSU rRNA". It matches the Rfam family "Eukaryotic small subunit ribosomal RNA", at positions 554 to 999 of the family's 1831-position model. Lineage: Eukaryota; Fungi; Rozellomycota. The record is from RNAcentral.
GGCAAGUCUGGUGCCAGCAGCCGCGGUAAUUCCAGCUCCAAUAGCGUAUAUUAAAGUUGCUGCAGUUAAAAGCUCGUAGUUGGAUCUGGGGCAUGGAUUCACUGCUGUCCGUUCGUUCGGAGGUGGUGGUAUCCUGCUCUGCUUGUCGUUGACUGUUGCAGUGUUCUUAACUGAGCGCUGCAAUAGCACGGCAUGUUUACUUUGAAAAAUUAGAGUGUUCCAGGCAGGCUUAGCCUGAAUAGUGCAGCAUGGAAUAAUACAAGAGGACUUGGCUCCAGUUGUUGGUGUAUGGCGCUGAGUAAUGAUUAACAGGGAUAGUUGGGGCAUUCGUAUUAAUUGUCAGAGGUGAAAUUCUUGGAUUUAUUAAGACGAACCUGUGCGAAAGCAUUUGCCAAGGAUGUUUUCAUUAAUCAAGAACGAAAGUUAAGGGAUC